CAGCAGCCACGGUAAUACGAAGGGGGCUAGCGUUGUUCAGAAUUACUGGGCGUAAAGCGCACGUAGGCGGAUAUUUAAGUCAGGAGUGAAAUCCCGCAGCUCAACUGCGGAACUGCCUUUGAUACUGGGUAUCUUGAGUAUGGAAGAGGUUAGUGGAAUUGCGAGUGUAGAGGUGAAAUUCGUAGAUAUUCGCAGGAACACCAGUGGCGAAGGCGGCUAACUGGUCCAUAACUGACGCUGAGGUGCGAAAGCGUGGGGAGCGAACAGGAUUAGAUACCCCCGUAGUCCCUGUCUCUUAUAC
This 301-nucleotide ribosomal RNA is filed under the name uncultured bacterium. RNAcentral describes it as "partial 16S ribosomal RNA". It matches the Rfam family "Bacterial small subunit ribosomal RNA", at positions 509 to 807 of the family's 1533-position model. The record is from RNAcentral.